RNAcentral lists this ribosomal RNA (253 nucleotides) under uncultured bacterium. RNAcentral's name for it is "partial 16S ribosomal RNA". It matches the Rfam family "Bacterial small subunit ribosomal RNA", at positions 524 to 776 of the family's 1533-position model. The record is from RNAcentral.
UACGAAGGGGGCUAGCGUUGCUCGGAAUUACUGGGCGUAAAGCGCACGUAGGCGGCUCUUUAAGUCGGGGGUGAAAUCCUGGAGCUCAACUCCAGAACUGCCUUCAAUACUGAAGAGCUCGAGUCCGGGAGAGGUGAGUGGAACUGCGAGUGUAGAGGUGAAAUUCGUAGAUAUUCGCAAGAACACCAGUGGCGAAGGCGGCUCACUGGCCCGGUACUGACGCUGAGGUGCGAAAGCGUGGGGAGCAAACAGG